UUGCUCGUCGUGAACCUCACCGCUGCCAGCGCAAGCCACCGCAGCUCUCCGCCCUAGCUUGCCCACGCCUGUGCGAGCAACCGUAGCUCCCCGACGGUGCUCACCCACGCUGAUGCCCGAGUGAUCCACUGCGACUCGCCGCCGGUUCUUGUCCACGUCUGCAGGCGCCGGCGCAGUUCGUCCUUGCCUCGCGGAUGCCUGCGCUAGAUACCGCAGCUCGCUGCGGGUUCUCCCCCACGCCUGCGCGCGAUAGCGCAGCUCUCUGCGGGUCCUGAACAAGUGGCGCGAUGGCAGCAGCGGCUGGAGGAGGAGAUGGAUGUGUGUGUAGGUCCUGAAGAUGUUGAAUGCAAGCAACAUAGAGAACUGUCCAACACUACUUUCUUGUCAAUUUUUGCAUGUCCAGCCUUCUCGGAAGAUGGCAUUAGGCAGUUUACUUUCUGAUGGAGACCACUUCUGAUGCUACCUAGAUUGGCCGAUCUACUUUUUUUAUCAGGGACACUACUAUCCAUUUCAUGAGGAAGCACUCGGCAUAUCUGCUGUAGGAUCACAAUGUUCAGCCUGGCUUCUAUCUUGUAUCUGGCAUGUAAUAUCUUUUUCAUUGGUGCAAAACUGCAAAUUUAUCCGAAUU
Molecule: long non-coding RNA, 628 nt
Organism: Triticum aestivum (bread wheat)
Lineage: Eukaryota; Viridiplantae; Streptophyta; Magnoliopsida; Poales; Poaceae
Exons: 3
Source: RefSeq, a predicted model, not a curated record